UACGGGGGGUGCGAGCGUUGUCCGGAAUCACUGGGCGUAAAGGGCGCGUAGGUGGUUUGAUAAGGGUGUGGUGAAAGCCCGGGGCUCAACCCUGGGUCUGCCGUGCCGACUGUCAAACUCGAGGGCUGUAGAGGCAGACGGAAUUCCGGGUGUAGCGGUGGAAUGCGUAGAGAUCCGGAGGAAGACCGGUGGCGAAGGCGGUCUGCUGGGCAGUUUCUGACACUGAGGCGCGACAGCGUGGGGAGCAAACAGG
Molecule: ribosomal RNA, 253 nt
Filed under: uncultured bacterium
Lineage: Bacteria
Description: partial 16S ribosomal RNA
Rfam family: Bacterial small subunit ribosomal RNA
Source: RNAcentral